ACUCAAAGGAAUUGACGGGGGCCCGCACAAGCGGUGGAGCAUGUGGUUUAAUUCGAUGCAACGCGAAGAACCUUACCUACUCUUGACAUCCAGGGAAUUCUGCAGAGAUGCGGAAGUGCCGAAAGGAACCCUGAGACAGGUGCUGCAUGGCUGUCGUCAGCUCGUGUUGUGAGAUGUUGGGUUAAGUCCCGUAACGAGCGCAACCCUUAUCCUUAGUUGCCAACACGUCAUGGUGGGGACUCUAAGGGGACUGCUGGUGAAGAACCGGAGGAAGGCGGGGACGACGUCAAGUCAUCAUGGCCUUUAUGAGUAGGGCAACACACGUGCUACAAUGGGAAACACAGAGGGAAGCCAACCUGCGAAGGGGAGCCAAUCUCAGAAAAUUUCUCGUAGUCCGGAUUGGAGUCUGCAACUCGACUCCAUGAAGUUGGAAUCGCUAGUAAUCGCGAAUCAGAACGUCGCGGUGAAUACGUUCCCGGGCCUUGUACACACCGCCCGU
Molecule: ribosomal RNA, 499 nt
Filed under: uncultured bacterium
Lineage: Bacteria
Description: partial 16S ribosomal RNA
Rfam family: Bacterial small subunit ribosomal RNA
Source: RNAcentral